This 220-nucleotide ribosomal RNA is filed under the name uncultured bacterium. Its description in RNAcentral is "partial 16S ribosomal RNA". It matches the Rfam family "Bacterial small subunit ribosomal RNA", at positions 32 to 247 of the family's 1533-position model. The record is from RNAcentral.
AAUCAACGCUGGCGGCGUGCCUAACACAUGCAAGUCGAACGCGAAAGCCCGCGAAGGGUAAGUAGAGUGGCGCACGGGUGAGUAACACGUGGACAACCUGCCGUUCGAGUGGGGAAUAACCUUCCGAAAGGGGGCUAAUACCGCAUAAACCGCGGAACACAAGUUCUGGGGUUGAAAAGAGCAAUUUUGCUCGAAGAGGGGUCCGCGCCUAGAUUAGCUA